Molecule: transfer RNA, 74 nt
Filed under: Sphingobacteriaceae bacterium
Lineage: Bacteria; Pseudomonadati; Bacteroidota; Sphingobacteriia; Sphingobacteriales; Sphingobacteriaceae
Description: tRNA-Leu
Rfam family: tRNA
About the family: Transfer RNA (tRNA) molecules are approximately 80 nucleotides in length. Their secondary structure includes four short double-helical elements and three loops (D, anti-codon, and T loops).
Source: RNAcentral
GUGGGUAUUGUAGAAAUGGUAGAUACGGUGAACUUAGGAUUCACAAUUUAGGGGUUCAAGUCCCUUUACCCAUA